GCACUUGUGGGGGCGCCUAUCGCCCCCAGACCGGCCUUGUAGCCCAGCUCGCUCCCGCCCCCCGGCCGCUUCGGGGCUGGGCGAGGGCGCUCCCUAGGCGGCCUUGGAUGCUGGGGUCCCCCCCCCCCAGCGGCUCCGGCUUCCCGGCCUGGCGCUCCCGAAACUCUUAGGGCUGCAGCGGGUGAGGACGCCCCCAGGAAGCGCCUGCGGGGCCGGAUUGUGUAGGGAAGCGGGCGAUGCGGAGGCGGUGGUUGUUGGGCUCUUAGGGUUGGGCCGCCCAGAGCCCCUAAGGGCAGGCCCCGGCAGCUGGAGGGGAAGAGGGUUCGGCAGGGAUCCAAGCAUGCCAGCAUAUAAAAAUAAGUCUCAUGUGUAUAUUCCAUUUAACUGUGUCUCAGUUAUACUCAGAUCUCUUUACAGAUUAAGCCGGAAUUUCGAUAUCAUAACUGACUUCUGCCCAGUGAAGUAUGUACAUCUGCUGGGACUUGGGUGAUAUCUUGGUUAUAGGUCAGUUGUUCAGAACUUUCAUUUGCAGAGCACUUUCAGGCCUUUAUAAUUGCUUGGAGAGAAUUAUAGCUAAGGGAGCGACUGAUCUAGAUUUACAACUCAGAAAGAAAGAAAUCUUCAUCUGGCGGAGCUCCCAGUGGUUUAACAACAGCUUGUUGACAAAAUUCCUGAGUGCUUAACCACUAGCUCCAGUACACCAUGGAAAGGAGGGCGCCAUUAAGCUUCACCAGAUAUGAGCCACCACAGUGAAGGAAUGGCUUUCUCUGGAUCAAUUUCCAACAUCCUGGGGAAAAUCCUGGGUUGCCCAGCUUGUCUGUCAGGUUUCUGUUCCCCGAAUUGUUGUCGACUAUGACCAGGGGACCAGGACUGCAUGGUAGAAGUUGUUGGAAGUGUGUUUUAAUAAACCACAGGAGGCGAAUUUGGGGAAUUAUAAUACCCCAGUCUUGGUCUCUUCAAAGCAGAGCUUGGUGUAAAGACUUAUGUAUAACAAAUUUCUCAGAAAUAAAAUCCUUGGAAAGCAGAAGUACAGAACCACUGGGAAAGGAGGGAAAGGCAAAAGGAUGCUUUCUGAAGUUCUACAAAUCAGUUACUCUUCUGUCACUAUUGGAUAAUAAAAGGGUAACCUCAAAUAAUACCUGGUAAGGAAUGAGCUGCGUGCUGCCAGGGGACUUUACUGGAGCCUGAGAACAAAUCCAAAUGCUGAUGGAGGUGGAGGGAAGAGAGGAGCACACCCUUCUUCAGGACCCCUCUGGAAUUCCUGGAUUGAGAUGUACUAUCUGCACCAUUUCCCCUGCUCUGAAGGCAUUUUGGUUGUGAGAACCAAAUUUCCUUUAUCAUUUAAGUUAGUUUGAAUCAUGACACUUGCAACCAAAAUCUUCUAAGUGCUACACGACCUCAAUCACAAGGAUUACACCGUAUUCUGGUUGUUGGAGUGUUUUCUAGAAGGAUGCUACCUCUUAGGGUAAGGGCUCACACAUCUGAUUUAACUUGUAUCCACAAUCCCUAACAGAGCUCAUGGCAUAUAAUAGAAGCUUAAUACAUAAUGGAUUGAAGGAAUGCAACUAUAA
Molecule: long non-coding RNA, 1571 nt
Organism: Marmota monax (woodchuck)
Lineage: Eukaryota; Metazoa; Chordata; Mammalia; Rodentia; Sciuridae
Exons: 2
Source: RefSeq, a predicted model, not a curated record